Molecule: ribosomal RNA, 372 nt
Filed under: uncultured organism
Description: partial 16S ribosomal RNA
Rfam family: Bacterial small subunit ribosomal RNA
Source: RNAcentral
GUAGGUGGCAAGCGUUGCCCGGAAUUAUUGGGCGUAAAGCGCGCGCAGGCGGUUCUUUAAGUCUGAUGUGAAAGCCCACGGCUCAACCGUGGAGGGUCAUUGGAAACUGGAGAACUUGAGUACAGAAGAGGAAAGCGGAAUUCCACGUGUAGCGGUGAAAUGCGUAGAGAUGUGGAGGAACACCAGUGGCGAAGGCGGCUUUCUGGUCUGUAACUGACGCUGAGGCGCGAAAGCGUGGGGAGCAAACAGGAUUAGAUACCCUGGUAGUCCACGCCGUAAACGAUGAGUGCUAAGUGUUAGGGGGUUUCCGCCCCCCUUAGUGCUGCAGCUAACGCAUUAAGCACUCCGCCUGGGAGUACGGCCGCAAGGCUG